AAGAACGGAAAGCAACGUAUGCAGGCACCGGAAAAAGGGGGAAAGGGAAAAGAGAGAGAGGAGGAAAAAGAGGGAAAGUUGAAUCCAGGGGAUAAGCACAGGUGCAUGCUGGCAAGCUCCAGACGGAGAUGUUGGAGGUCCUACCUGUAAGCCGUAGCAUCCGUUGAGGUGAGCUGGAAUGACUUGAGUGAACAGAAGCGCACUGGAAACCCACUGUGGACUGCUCACUAGGAGCCGUCUGUGAUCCCCCAUACAUACACACACACACGCACACACACACACCUACCUUGUUGAUAAACUGCUAACCGGCUUCCCAAAGAGCAUGACUGCCUUGGCUCUCACUGCCUGAUGGAUACAGAGACACAGAAAAAGUGUCUUCAUGUUGUGGAAACUCAACCUGGGAAGAUCUAUAAUCUAUCUGGUACACCAAUCCCAGAAAAACCGUGAAUGAGUGCGAAACAGAGAGAUCCUGUGGCAAAGGAACACUACUCCAUCCUGUCCUCUCCUGUCAGGGCAUGGCCCAGG
Ictalurus punctatus (channel catfish) is the source of this 525-nucleotide long non-coding RNA. RefSeq lists it as uncharacterized. The transcript has 3 exons. Lineage: Eukaryota; Metazoa; Chordata; Actinopteri; Siluriformes; Ictaluridae. The record is from RefSeq and is a predicted model, not a curated record.